CUUUUUCCGUCUCUAAAUCAAAAUCCUGUUUCUCCUCCAUGGUCACAAGCUCCAGCACAGCACGGCAAUGCAUGGGUGCAGCAGAAUCAAAGACCGGAAAGGCAAUAAUACCCCUUACUCCACAAGAGAUGGCAUCUGAUAGGUGUGAGUAUUCACUCGGUCUGUAAUAGCGUACAUUUGAACUCCAUUCUGGAAAUCCACAAUUCCAUUCCCGAGCAAAAAGCUCCGGACAUGAAAGCCCUUUCCGACCCUCCAGUUGACGAUAUUCAAGAAGCGUAGAAUUUGGGACGCACAAGUGAGGGUAAGGGAGAUUUUGCAGGCCGAUUCCUAAAGAAUUUUUAAGCAACGACAAUGCUUUUUCCAUCUUUUCCCAUAGACUCAACAUUGCAGGAGGCAAAUCAUCAUCGGCGCAAGACAAAUGUUCCUAAUCCAUUUGUAUUUUGACAAUUUUGUCUGCGACAAUUCUUCUCACUCCUCAGAUCAUCUUGUCCAUGGCUGGAAAGUGGAACGAUGAGGAGUGGUUAAACACUUGAAGGAGGUUGACUUGACUUCUAAUUUUGAUAAUAACUAACGAGGAAGCUUCCUCUGGCACACUUUGCUCCAUCAGUUUUCAUCUCUCCAUGUUUUACAUGGGUGUUACAUUUACAGGCUACAAGAACAAGAAGUUUCAUCAGGGUAAAAAAAACAUAAUAUCAAUUGACAAAAGCCAAUAUAUUUAAAACUGUUAGUUGCAACAAAAGGGUUUUCUGCAGAUCCAUACUAUUUCCACAGUUUUUCGCGUUUGUAAUAAUUUUUUUUCAAGAUCCAUUAUAGGGACCGAAACAAAAGUAAUUCAUUUUUUUCAUCUCAACUUUCCAGGUGAGAUGAAAAAAAUCCGCUAAUCUUCUUUUCUUGCCCCGGUUUUGUAUCUGCCAUAGCUCAUAACGUAUGCAGCCAUUUACCAAGUUAUGCAGUCGCCUGUCAACCCAAUCACUCUGACAUGAUGCAGCUAAUGAAUCCCAUAUCUCAACAACUUGCCUUUUCAAUUGUAGAACAAAUAGAAAGAAAUGACUUCUUUUCUCGUCAAAGACAGGAACAAACGCCUGCAGCAUAACUAAGCAUGGGAUGCAUUAAUUGGACUAAAAAAAACCAAACUUCACCUUUCCACAGCAUAAAAGAUCUGACAUGUAGUUUUCCUUGAUCCUGUGCUGUGCUUUUUCGCGAAAGAAAUACACUUAGAUGGAUCAUCUGAAUUCCCCUGUACAACACAUGAGCAUAAGGAAAUUCUGUUUUUUCAUGUAGUGGACUUGUAAAAUUGAACAGAAUAAUAAGAUGUCAGUUGUCCAAAUAUGAUCUUGGAAGUGUGAUUUUGGGGCCGGGGAUUUGCUGUCCACAGUAGAAAUAAAAAAUAGACGAAAUACCUUUUUUUUUUUUAGUAUCGAAUUAUUUUUAAAAUAUCGAAUUUUAUUAAAAUAAUGUUUUAAAAUAUUUUAAAAUAUCGAAUUAUAUUAAAAUAAUAUUUUUAAAAUUUUUAAAAAUUAUUUUUAAGAUGAAUACAUCAAAACAAUUCAAAAUAUAUAAAAAAAUUAAUUUUUAACCAAAAAAAAUUAAAAUUUUUAAGAACACAAACACAACCAUAUUUUCAAUAACUCACAAAAGAUUUUGAGAAAAGUCAAUCGAACUUGUAUUUUUUAAUUGAGAUAACAAAGCCCACCAUCUCACUCUCAAUCCAUGGAAACUAUUGAAAAUAAUGCUGAGUAGCAAAAAGUACUGGGAUAUGACUUGCCAUGUUUUGGAAGAUAAAUAUCUCAUAAAUUUAUUAGAGAUAUAUUUUUCAUUUCAUUUAAAUUACAUUUAAAACAUUUAAUAAUAGUAAAAUAUUGAUUUUUUACGAAAGCUCAAAAAAUUAUAUAUAUCUCAAAAAAUUAAAAAUGAUGUUAUAUUAAAUAAACUUAAUAAUAAUGAAUAUAAUAAUUAAUAAAAAAACAUAAUUACUCAUCAUCAUAGAUAAAAAUGAAUCAAAUCAAAUGAAAACAAUAAAAAUAUUUUAAUUAAAAAAUAAAGUAAAAAAAUUUAUCAAUUUACAUCUGCUACAAUUAAAAAUAUUAUAAUUUUGCAAAAUUUUUAAAAUUCUUGUGAAUGUCAAAAAUCUGAAAAGAUAAAAUAUAAUCUAAAUAAGAAUGUUAUCAUCAAGUUUAGGAAAUGCAGAUCAAAUGUUAGCAAGGUUGAUCCCAAACACCACACAGAAAGACAAAAGAGGAUUUCAGCUUUUGAUAUUGUUUUGAGCAUCGUGACCCUGUUAAUAAUCAUUACAAGGGAAGUGUGUGACUUUGCAACCAAAUUUCAUUAACAAAUAAUGGUAGGAAAAAACGAUGUUCAGAAAUUUAGGGGAAAAAUCAUUUUGAAACCACUUGUCUCUAGACAGUGAAGAACUCAAUUGAUAAAAAUUUCCUGGUGGUGAAGUUUCAUCAGCCUAGCAAAAGAGUUUCACGAUGCCUUUAUCGGAUUGGCUUUAGGGAAAAAGGGAGUGGUUUUAAAGACGGUGUUCUUGAAGUGGAAAGGAAUGGUGUGGUUUUAUUGAAAGAAAAUACGAGGGAGAUGGAGACUGGAGGUGGAGGAGAGUGUGAGAACAAGAGAGAGAGGCAUGAUGAGGAGCCUAAGUUUACUGUCAUUUUUCCAAAUACAUUUGACUUCAAACUCAAUAUGCGAAGGAAAGCUACUUUCUUUCAUCUCUUUCAUAUUCUCCUGUUUCUCCUCCAUGUCAUAAGCUCCAGCACUUCACAGCAAUAACACUACACUGUAGCAGCCGGGAAAACCAGAUGUAUGUUUUUUUUGUUCCAAGAACUCAUUUUUAAUCUAAAAUAUUAAUAAAACAUUCUAGGCAUCUUGAUCAACCAAUUCAUGAACUCAAAAAGUCCAAAACCAUUCUGAAACUGGAAAUCAACUUGAAAUAAAAAAAAUUUCCGAGUUUAGAUUUAUUUUUUUAGAUACUUUUAAAAUAAAAAAAAACCAUUUAAUAUGAAUUACAAUCAUCAAAUCAUCAAAUGAAAUCAUGAUAUUCCCAUAGAUUGUCUGAAUACUUUCUUUCAUAUUGAUGAUUUACGUCUUUCAUAUUCUCAUUUCUUGCCAAAAAUUCUCUAUGAUUUCCAAACCUCUGCUCAUAAUAUGCCUCAGCCUUGGAAGCCAAAUUAUUCCUGCAUGAGUUGACAUCACUCGCUAGCAAUCUUAGUACCACUUCCAACCUCUCGUUAUCGCUUUCGAACUGCAUGUUGGCUAGAUAAUUAGAAAGAUUGUCAUACCUUUAUCUUCAGUAAGCGCACAUUAAUGUUAAAAUAUUACCAAAAAAUCAGGACUCGUCACUUCUUCUGGUGCUAGCAUAAACUUGAUAACAUAUACACCACAGUCGUAUCUGCACAGAAAGAAAUCAUGUCAACUGAUGUGGCUUACAGUAUUUUAAAGGUACUCAACAAUAUGUAACCUAACUACUCAAUAUAUUGUGGAUCAUAAAUAUAUAUAUACAUACCCAUUUGGUUGCUGUGGGACAUUCGAUGGUCUUUCCACUCUGAAAUCUGUGAAGGACCAAACAUUUUGGUAGUUCUGAUGUAUAUCAUCUUUGAAAAGGGCGUCCAGGCUAACCAACUGGUUUGUGAAAAUGUUUUGGCAGCAAAAAGUUCAUAAAGCCCAUUAGUACAGUGGUUAACUAGGGUUGCAAGGUAGCUCAUGGAGUAUGCAGCCAUUUACCAAGUUACGCAGUCGCCUGUCAACCCAAUCACUCUGACUUGAUGCAGCAAUUGAAUCCCAUAUCUCUACAACUUGCCUUUUCAAUUGUAGAACAAAUAGAAAGAAAUGACUUCUUUCCUUGUCAAAGACAGGAACAAACGCCUGCAAAUAUAGUUUUCACAGCAUAACUAAGCAUGGGAUGCAUUAAUUGGACUAAAGAAAACCAAACUUCACCUUUUCACAGCAUAAAAGAUCUGACAUGUAGUUUUCCUUGAUCCUGUGCUUUUUCGCGAAAGAAAUACACUUAGAUGGAUCAUCUGCAUUCUCCUGUACAACACGUGAGUAUAAGGAAAUUGUGUUUUUUCAUGUAGUGGACUUGUAAAAUUGAACAGAAUAAGAUGUCAAUUGUACAAAUAUGAUCUUGGAACCUACCGCAAAAACAAUUGGCAGAUACCAAUUUACAGAAUCUUCUAUCUUCCUCUUAACUAAAGUCAUGGCAUCAGAUAUCGUAGAAAGGACGUUAUCAUCAAGCCAGGUCUCUGGUCUCAGAGAGUAUAGUUCCCUCCGAGAUAAAUGAUAAUUCUUGCAUUGGACAAUAGUCUCACUAGCAGAAACAGGUACAGAAUAGGUCAACUGGUGAACUUAAAUGCAUUCAGCUAAGCAAACUAUAACUUGGGGGAAAAGAAUCUGACCUCUCACUCAGUGAAGAAUCAAAGACAUAUUGGAUUAACUUUAAGUCCUCUGGACUGGUAGGUUUGCUCACUGUAAACGGACCAGCCAAAUAUUUGGACAUUUGCUUUCCAGGUGAGUCAAAUCUCACAUCUGUGGAGACCAGAGAAGAACCAGGCUUCCCUUCCUUGCUGCUGCAAAUAUGGAAGACAAAAACAAAUUGAGAAAAAUGAUAAUCCCAUAAAAUGUGAACAUUCAAUUUCGGGCGAUGAAAACUAUAGUUACAAAUUGAUACUGUAAUUGAAAUUACAAGGUUGCACCAUUAAGCUUAGGAAAUGCAAAUCAAAUCUUAGCAUAGUUGAUCUUGUUAAUAAUCAUCACAAGGGAAGUGCGGGACUUUUUCUUCCUGCACUUUGCAGACCAAAUUUCAUGAAACAAAUAAUGGUAGAAAAAAACAGGAAAAUGAUUUUCAGAAACUUAGGAAACAAAUCAUUUUGAAAUUAUUUGUCUCUAGCCACCAACCUAUUAUACACUAUACUAAAAGGGAUCAGUACCUUUAUUACUAUUUAUCUAGAUACAAAGCACUGUAGAUUGGAGCAGUAUAAUGACAGAGCUGCUCUUGCCAUAUAGAGUUGCAAGGAAAUCGGCGGGUUGUCUUUUCAGUGGGAUACAUAUGGCAUUAAAGGGAUGGUUGGGAAGAAAAUGAUCGGUUCUAAUUUUAGUGGGGUUGUAGGCCCCAGGCUGUAGACACUUGGUGUUAGGCCCGACAAGCCCUGAGCGCUAGGGCCAGACCCGCACGCCACGUGGGGCAGCAGGCCCCGAGCUGGAGACACUUAGCACUGGGUCCAACCGCGCGCAUGGCUACAGACCCGCAUGCCUAGAGUUUGGAGACCUGGGCGCCUGGGUUUGGAGACCGCGCGACUGGGGUCUGCAAAGCCCCCCAAGGCUCUAAGACAGCGCGGCUAGGUCAGCAGACCCAUACACCCUAGUUUGACUGUCUACUAACUGACAUCUGGGUCUGCAGACCACGCAAAGAGGAAUAACAAAUUCAAAAAAAUUGAAAAACGUGAAUAUCAAAUUUAAAAAACAACCACAGAUUUUAUUUAAAAGGUAAAAAUAUAAAUUACUAUUUUUAUUAUUAUAAUUAAUAAAUUUGAAAUAAAAUAUUAUUGUAAACAAAGAAAAACCAUUUAGUUGAUUUGAGGGAUAAUAAUAAUAAUAAUAAUAAUAAUAAUAAUAAUAAUAAUAAUAAUAAUUGUGCUAUAAAUAUUAUUAUUUUAUUAUAAUUGAUGAUAUUAAUAUUAAAAAUAGAAUUAUUUGUGGUAUAAAUAUUAUUAUUUUUAUUACAAUUCAAAGUAUUAAUAUAAAAAAUAUUAUAUUUGUGGUAUAAAUAUUAUUUUUUUUAAUUAUAAUUGAAAGUAUUAAUAUUAAAAAUAGUAUUAUUUGUGCUAUAAAUAUUAUUAUUUUAUUAUAAUUCUCUUGGGUCUUGCGUUAGGAUCCAAUCCUGUUAGGUCCAGUGUCGAGACAAAUUAGCCUUGGGUCAUGCGUUAGGACCCACGUCUCAUGAUCCGGAUACUGGACCUAACAUAAUUGGGUUCAGUGUCGGAACCCAACAUAAUUGGGUCCGAACACAGGACUCAAGGCUAAUGGGUCUUGAUGCAUAACCCAACAAAAUUGAGUCCCACCACCGGACCCAAGCCUAAUGGGUCCAGACACAUGACCCAUUAGACUUGGGGCCGAUGUCGGGACUCAAUUCCUUACUUUUGUAUUAAAAAAAAUUUAGAAGCGCAUAUGGCAUACAUUGUUUGGUGUACUAUAAAAGCAUACAUUACUAUUCUAUGUAUUGGGUUGUCUAAUUAUGUUAAACCUUGUAUCAUGCAGUAAAAAUGUUAAAUAUUAUUUUAGAAUUAACAAAAUCUAUUCCAGGCUUCAAGUUUAGAAAAUGUUGUUUUUUCACAUUUGUUUUUAAUCGUUUGGUUAGGGGUUUUUUGUCUUUUUUUUCACUAUUCUAAUGGUGCUAGGACUUUGUUACUACUAAAAAAAACUUGAAUUUGAUUUCAAACAUAAAAUUAAAAACUAUAAAAACUUUAAAAAAAAAAAAAAUUUGACCUCACAUUGUUUUGGACAUGAUAGACAUCUAAGUUCAAGAUGCUAGGACUUUGUAGUUGGUCAAGUCCAAGGUAUAAAUAUUGUUACGUUACCAUUUCACUGGAAUGCAUGUAGCAUUGAAAAAUGAUUAUGUAGAAAAUGAUCAGCUCCAGUUUUGGUGGGACUACAGGCCCUAGACUGCAGACAUCUAGGGCUGGGGCUGGCAAGCCCUAGGCGCCCACGCGCCACGUGGGGUUGCAGGCCCCAAUUUGCAGACACAUGGCGCUAGGGCCAGACCCGCGCGCAUGGCUAGCUGCAAAUCCAGGUGAGUGGGUUUGAAGACCAGCUCAGGACGCCUUAGUCUUGGGUCCUGCGUCCGGACCCGGGUCUCUUGGGUUCUGCGUCGGGACCCAAUCCUCUUGCAUCCAUUGUAUUUCUAAAUAUAAUUAUUUGUGUUAUAAAUAUUAUUAUUUUUCUUAUAAUUAAUAAUAUUGUAAUUAAAAAUAUUAUUAUUUUUAUUAUAAUUAUUAUUAUUAAUAAAAUAAUUAAUAAAUUAAAAAAACAUUAUUAUUAUUAUUAUUAUUAUUAAAUUUAAAAAAUACUAUCAUUACUAUUGAAGAAAAAACAUCAUUUUUUAAAAAGAUUAAAAAAUAUAAGAAUUUGAGAAGACAAGUUAAAUAUUAUUGUUUGGUCUAGUGUUAUAGUCAAACUCAACACUCUUGGGUUCGGCAUUGUAACCAGACUCGACACUCUUGAAUUUUAAAUUUUUUUAAUAAUUUUUAUGAAAAUAAAAGGUUAAUUCACGUAGUAACGGGAUCCAAGUAAUAAACUAAACAACCAACUUACUUGUUUUCAGGGCUUUCCAACCAGUCCUGUCUACAUAUAAAAGCCUCUAUGGUCUCUAGCCCCAAACCAUUGAAUGCUGGAUUCACCUUUGUAGCUUCACCGCUGAUAGUAGACUUUGAUAGAAUAGCUGAUAUCGGAAUUGCUACGAAAUCACGAGCCAUUUUACCAAGUGCUGGAAAUCUUGGAGCAUUGACUCGCCACCAAGCUAAUACAUCUGAAACCUUAUCCUGGUUUUCCACAGGCUCUCCUAAAUACCGAUCAAGAUCAGAUUUUGGCGGAUCAACCUUAAGCCACUCACAGAAUCCCAAGAACUUACCAUCGGAAUCCAGAUCAUAUGAUGGCAAACAACUGAUGUCGCUGGCAGGUGAUGCUAUAUAACCAGUGGCAUUCGCAUAACUGUUGUACAUACAUGUAAGUUUGCUACGAAAUUCCAGCAAGUAUUUGCUAGCAUCACUGCCAUACAUCAGCAAAAACCCAUACUGCACAAAUUUAAGUUUACAGCGCGGGUCGAGUACUAAUAGGAUUCCAAAUGCAAAACUCCAUUCACUCCAAUGCCUAUCAAGAUUCACCUUCAUUCUCUUCGCCAUCGAACAAACAUAUGCAUGCUCACUCUUUUCCCACGAAAGCAAGUUCUUAUAUAUAUAGCAAACAUGGAGGAAGCAUGCAUCUAUGCUUGAUGAAGAACUGCCUACAGAUUUGUGGAUCACUUUUAAACACCCACAUACAAUCAUCGCCAUCUUCCACUCCUCUGCAGAUGGAUUCACCUUAAAAUCAAAAUCAACUUGCUCGAGUUGAGUAAAAGCUUCUUUUAAUUCCAAUGCACUCAAGAGCAUGACAAAUGUGGUAUCCCAUCUGGUAGGAUCAUCAUGAGAGGCUGCUUUCAUAUCUUGCAAUUUCACAUUAUUACUUGCUUCCCGAAACUUAUCUUGGUUAAUUGGUGUUGCAUUCACAUAUUCAAUACAGCCCCUGAUCUUGUUAAGCACAUCUUUUAUCUCGUAAAACCCAUCUCGAGCAAGAAGUUCAAGAGUUUGUGCGUAGCAAGAAAAACAUAGUAAGUCCCCAUUCAUAUGUGGGAAUUGACUGACAAGCUUGCUUCUGAAUUCUCUAGUCAUUUGACUGUUUGGUGGAGCAAUUUCUGCAAACAUGAAGUGCACUUUCUUAAUGAUAUUCCACUCCACAAGCACAUCUUUCACAGCUUCAUUCAUAUAAUCAUGUUCCAUACUCCUGAAAGCCAAAAUCUUCUUAUUCAUCCUCCAUCCAUCAUCAAUAAAAUGCAUGGUCAAGCAGCAGGACAUCUUGUUAUCACCGUAUGACUGCAAAUCUAUUGUUAUACUGAAAAGAGAUGAGAGAUUAUCAAUAUAUUUCAUUAGUUUCUCUUUCUCUUGUCUGUAAAUAGAAAGAGCAUCAGCCUGAACAGUGUCUUGUGAACAGAGUUGAAACUUUGGCUGCAGAUCGCAGACAAAAGUUUUGAAGAACUCAUUUUGAACCAUAUCCAAUGGAAAUCCGAGCUUCAUAAUCAUUCUAACAAAGUUAAGGCGACUCCUUUCUUGAUCAAACACGAAAUUCCCUCCCAAAUCAGAGGGCAAUGUAUGUUGUUUUGCAUCUCUCUGUCCCCUUUUUGAACAACUUUUUAAGUGUUUGAGUAGAUUUGAAGUUCCCUUUGUGUUUUCCCCUGGAUACUUCUUUUGACAUCCUUUACAUAUGGCCCAUAUUGCACCAUUUUCUUUGUCUUUAACCUUAUCGAAAUGUUUCCACACUUCAGAUACCUUUCAUCGUUUAUUAUCAGCACAUUCGAUGAACAUGCUACCAUCAGGAUCUGGAGCAGGUUCAAUUUUAUCAUUGUUUUUACUAACUUUCGAGCCUCGUUUCGUGAUGAAUGGUUUUUCUGAAAACAUUCUCAAGCUCUUACAAGUUUGCUUUAUUGUAAGCUUCAGUUUCUCAACCAAUUCUUGCUGCUCUGAACUCUCUGUCACGAGGAUAGGGAGAAAGAACUCUAAUAUAUAGAUAUAAUCAUCACCAGUGCUCCUUAGCAGGAUUGCAACCGCAGCAUUCAAAUUAUACUUCCGUGCGUGAUGAGCAAGAGGAUAGUCCCUUACAUGCUUUUCCUUCACAUCAGGCUCAAAGGAAGUAAGACAUGUUUGACAGGCUUGUCCAGCAGCACCUUGCCCUGGGUACAGAAAUAGCUGCUCACAAGCAUGCACAAAGCCUUGCAUCUCCUCAUCUGCAUAACAAGCUGUACGCUCUAUUGCAAGUUCACCUGGCCACCAAAAACUUGCAUGACCUAAUUUUAAAAUAUCAUUAUCUCCCCAGGGAAUCCAUGUCAGAGCAAGUGGCAAUCUGUGUGUUUGGCAUACAGCUCUGCUAACAUCAGCGAUUUCAGUUAAGGCAGCUCUUUGAACCUCAUUAAAACACUGGGAAAAAAAUUCUAUAAGACAAAGCAAAAGACAACCUAAUUUUGCAUAGAAAAAACUAUAAUGUACUGAUACAUACCUGAGGACGAGAUACUAGUAAUUUGGUCCGUAAAUUCGCAGCCUGCAAACAGUUGGGCUUAUACAGAGUUCACAACACCAUCAAAGAAGACCAAAUGGGAACGCAGAGAUCACAGAAAAUGAAGCUAAGGGGGAAAAUUCACAUUUUAUGAGAUAUCAAAAGUAGAAAAGACAAAAACUUUGACUUCAAACUCGAUAUGCUAAGGAAAGCUACUUUCUUUCAUCUCUUUCUUAUUCUCCUAAUUCCUAUUCUUGCGGCUGUUAGGUUGUUAGAGUUAUUGUUGAAAUUGUCAAACUUCAUUAAGUUAAUAAUCCCUACUAGUUGGAAUAAGAGUCUAACUGUUUUCUUUAACUAUUUACAGUAUAAAAAGUGAAGUGGGUUGUUUUGUUUCAAUCUUAUCUCUUUGUAAUGCCAACAGUUUGCUUUGAAUUCAAUAAGGAUAUUUCAGAUAAUUUGAGUGAAUUGCUUUGUGGUAGAGUUUACAACAAUAAAUUGAGUGCUAUUUUCAACAAAAUCUGAUUGAAAAAAUAUAUAUACUGAAAACAAACCUGGAGAGCCUGGACAACUUUUUCCGUCUCUAAAUCAAAAUCCUGUUUCUCCUCCAUGGUCACAAGCUCCAGCACAGCACAGCAAUACUUGGGUUGAUCAGAUUCAAAGAUCGGAAAGGUAAUAAUACCCCUUACUCCACAAGAGAUGGCAUCUGAUAGGUGUGAGAAUUCACUCGGCCUGUAAUAACUUACAUUUGAAGUCCAUUCUGGAAAUUGACGCGCAUAAGUCCAUACCCGAUCCAAAAUGUCGUGGCCUGAAAGCCAUUUCCGACCCUCCAGUUGACGAUAUUCAAGUAGCGUAGAAUUUUGGACGCACAGGUGAGGGUAAGGGAGAUUUUCCUGGGCGAAUCCACGCUUAUCUUCAGCCCAAAAUUGUGCCAAAAAACAACCACUUCCUAAAGAAUCUUUAAGCAACAAUAACGCUUUUUUCAUCUUCGCACGUAGUCUUAACUUUGCAGGAGGCAAAUCAUCAUCGACGGAAGACAAAUGUUCCACGUCCAUUUGUAUUUGGACAAUGUUUUUUGGCCACAAGCCUUCUCACUCCUCAGAUCUUCUCACACAGUGGCUGGAAAGUGGAACGAUGAGGAGUAGGUAAAGGCUGAUCAGAAAUAGCUCUACCCAGAUUUUUUUGGCAGUGUCUUAAAACCAACUUAUCUUCUGCCCCUUAUUCACUGAUAUUUUACCUCUAUUCUGAUAGUUUAAUUCUUUUCAAUUUCAUCCUUGUGUUUUUCUUGACUAAAAAAAAGCUUAUUUAUAGCAGCAGAACUGGCUGAGAAUCUCAAGUGUAUUUGGAUUGUCCGGCCCGGUCACUAGCCCAAGCCAGUGACCCGGCUGGGCAAAGCACACGUGAACUUGUUCACGCGUGCAUGGGCACAGUGCGAAGGUAAUUAAUUACCUUCGCACAGUGCUAAAUGCACCAAAGAUUCAAAAGGAAUGAAAAGGAAGAGAAAGCUUACCGUGCCGCAGAUUGCUCUGCUGGAGUGUUAGCGUUUUGGGCGAAGAUCAGUGAAGGCGCUCGUUGCAAGGAAACUGGAAUUCCUCCUACCUUUACUUUCAUGCCCUCUGUUUCUUCUUCUCUCGUCUUUUUUGUUCUAUCGUCCCUGUGUUUGUCUCCUGCGUCUCCUUCCAGUUCUUCCCACGUUUGUUUUUGUUCGUUCCUCUGUUCUCUCCUGCUCCUUUUCUUUUUUUCGUUCGUGCUCUGUUUUCUUUUUUCCCCUCCUGCUUCUCCCGCUCGUCUGUGAAUUUGUGCCUUUUGCUCUGUCACUAUUUUGAGGCCUUUCUCUGGCUUUAUAAAAGCCAGAGAAGGUCUGGUGUCCCUGCCUCCAGAAAUGGUGGGCAUCUUGGAGGCGAGAGAUCAUGGCCGCAUCGUGGGUAUAGUGGCCGUGAUCUGCUGGGUUUUCCCCUGUUGAACCGGUCUUCAACAAGCAGAUGAUGAACAGAAGGAUCCAAAACGACGUCAUUUGGCAUGGAAAACGACAAAUUAUAGAUUGGUCCCUGAUGUUUUGAAAUGUAUCAAUUGGGUCUCUUCAUCAUAAAUUGUAAUUUUGCUCCUUGUAUUAAUUUCAAUUAAAUCCCUGAAUUUAUUUUAUUAAUUAAAUUAAAAUUUAAUUAAGUAAGUAAACUUAUUAAUUCUCUUGAUUUUAUUAAUUAAACUAAAUUAAAUUUUCAGACUUAUUAAUUUUAUAAUUUCUGAACAAUUUAAUUUCAAAUUUAAUAAUUUUAUCCUUGUAUUUAUAUUAUUUUAACUCCAUUCUUAAAUAUAUUUUUAUCCAUUUAUUUUUUAUUAUGUAUUCAAAAAUUAAGUUAUGAUAUCAUCUAUAUUUCAAUUUUGUUAACUAAUAAAUUUGAUUUAAUUACCUUGAAUUUAGUUUAAUAAGCAAUUAAAAAGUUUAAAGAUAAGAAUUAAAAAAUCAAAAUCAAAAUUUUGAACCAUCCAAAGAGUAAACAAUGCACGUGAAAAUAUUUUGGCAACAUUUAAUGUUUUUUAUAAUAAUAUAAUAAUAACUGUUUGGAUUUUUUAAUUUGGAUCACUUUAUAUUUUUUUUUUUCAAAGCUAAUUUUAAAUAGGAAUCAAAUAUCUGUCCAAUAUUUUUAAAAAUAUUUUUUAUUUAAAAUACAUUAAAAUAAUAUUAUUUUUUAAAUUAAUAUAUUAAAAUAAUAUGGUAUAAAAAUAAAAAAAAAAUUAAUUUAAAAUUUAAAAAUAAAUAAAAAUUUAAAUGUUUUUUAAAAAAUACUUUUAAAAUAUAAAAAUAAACGUUACGAUAGUUACCCUUCAUUGAAAUCAGUGCCUUUUUUUUAUACCAAAACCCAGAAAAAAAAAUCUUGAGCUUUAUACUCGCGCAAAAAAGGCAGUCUUUACUUAUAUUUAGCUUUAUCUGUGUGCUUAUAUGUAUAAAGAAGACAAAUUUGGAGGUGGGUUUGGUGUGUUAUUGUUGAUAUUGGAGUGUGGAAGUGAAUCACGGAGGCUUUCUAUACUGCAAAUUUUUGGAUGUCAUAUUACUGGAUUGUCCUUGCUACUCAUAGAAAGGAGGUGAGUGAUGUACUAGUUAGACCAUGGAUGUUGAGAUAUAUGUUUAUUGGCUGCUGAAAGCUGAUAUAUCUUGAUUUCUUGGUGUGUGCAGGCAGCUAUAUGUAUUGCAGGUUUGAAGAAAGUGAGGUUUUGCUUUCUGGGUUAUUUCUGUCGAAACAGGUAAAAGGUUAGGUUUUUCAAGUGUAAUUAUUGAGUUGUUUUUAGUUAUUCAAAAACAAAAAAAAAAAGGCUAAAGAGAGGAAAUUGAGCUGUUCUGUUUUGCGGGAAGAUAAAAUCUGAGCAGAAAGAGUGAAACUUUGAAAGAUUUGAAGUUAUGCAAGUGAGGGAAGAUAUUUGGAAACGAAGAAUUGAGUUUUGAGUAUUUUGGAGUGUGAUUUUUUGGAGUGUGAUUUUGGGGAGAUGAAAAUAUUUUUUUUAGUGCGGUUAUUAUUGUUUUUUAAAGUAUUUUUUAUAUUUAUAUGUAUUAAAAUAAUAUUUUUUUUAUUUUUAAAAUAAAUACAUCAAAACAAUUUAAAACACACAAAACAAAAUUAAUUUUUAACAAAAAAAAUUAAAAUUUUAAAAAACACAAAUACAAUCAUAUUUCCAAAACCUAAAAAAAAAAAAAAAAGUUUGAGAAAAGUCAAUUUGGCCUUGUAUGGCUGUAAAUUCUAUAGCUUUGUAUGAUCUAGAAUGGCUCUGGCGUCUAUUGCCUUUUUUUUUUACGCUAGUGCUCCUGCCGGCCGGCACCUGAAUUUAUAGAGCGGAGCGGAAAGUACAGGGGAGAGUGAGCGGAAAGUCAUUUUCUAAAUUGAUUAAUAAAAAACUUUUUAGUUAAAGAAAAAUUUUAUUUGAUUUUUUUAAAAAUAGUUUUUUUUUUAUUUUGAAUAUAAAAUAUUUUUAAAAAAUUAUGAAAAAUUUAGAAAUAUCAUAUUAUUUACUGAUUAUAUCAAAUUUAAUCCUUAAACUUUUGAUUGUUAUAUAUAUAUUUUUUUGAAUAUUUUUUUUAAUUUCAUUUCUUAGAAUUUGAUUUUUAUAUUAAUUUUAAUCCUUAUUUUUAUAAUUUUUAUUUUUUUAUUAUCAUUUUUAAUUAAAAAUUUUUAUCUAUCAAAUUUGAUCCUCAUUCUUUUGAUUGUUACUUAUUUUAUUUGAAAUAAUUUAUGAAAUGGUAAUUAUUAUUAUUUUAAUUUCUUCAUCUUUCAAUAUUUUUAUUUGUUAAACUUGAUCUCUAUUAUUUUAAUUAUUAUUAUUAUUAUUUUAAUUUCUUUAUUUUUUAAUAUUUUUAUUUGUUAGACUUGAUCUCUAUUAUUUUGAUUAUUAUUUAUUUUAUUUGAGAUAAUUUAUCAAAUUUUUUUUAAUUUCAUUCUCAUUCAAAUUUUUAAUUUAUAAGAUUUAUUCUUUAUUAUUUUAAUAAAGUUGAAAAAAAUAAAAUAUUAAUAAAUUAUUUUUCAGCUCAUUUUUCAUGACAUAACCAAACACUGAAAAAUAUUUUUCAAUUUAUUUUUUAUUAUACUAUCAAAUAAAAAAAAUAAUUUAUUUUUUCAGAAUUUAUUUUAAACAGCAUCCAAGUUUGAGGGAGAAGAAUAGCAAGGCGAGGAGUUACUGUAUAAAAGCUCCCACGCAAGAUGACGACAACGACGACGACAGAAAAUACUCAGGUGGGGCAGUUAUGCUUCAGUGCCACAAAUGAGGUGAUUGCUCAAGGAGUUUAGAAACACCAUUUUCAAUAUUCUGCUAACUUAUGGUAUCUUUCAAGCUCGUAAGCAUGCCAUCAGCUGUAUUAAGUAUUAGAUACUAAAUUAGUUACCAAUCUCUCUCAAGGAGGUGAUUGCUCUCAAUUUGAUCCCUAAACUAAAAUGUUUCUCAAUUAGGUCCUUACAAAGUUUGGCCAUUUCUCAAUUGAAUCCUUCUAUCCAUAUCUAAUGCCAUGGGAUGAAGUCGUAAAUCAAGAAAUAAAUACAUUCUCUACAUUUUUAAAAAGAACUUGAAAUGUCUUGUCGAAACAAUUGUGAUAAUUUUAGAUGAAAGGACUUAAAUCUGCAGGGAAAAAUUAUUUAUGGUCGUGACGGAAUUAAAUCACUCGAUCGUAGCUAAGUACCUAAAUAUAUACACUCAUUUCUCUGUGGAAAAAGGAAGAAGAAUUGAAGACAAAUAAGGACUGCCAAAACCAGCUAGCUGCCAUGGACUCGUCGAGAGUGGUGUUUUUUUUUUUUUUAGUUUAAUGUAGGUGUCCGGGCCAGCUUGCGCGCACCUCGACUAAUCCCACGGGCCCUGAAGUUAAUGAUCAUGUAAGCCUCCAGUGGCCAUCAUAUGAGCAACCACAGAGCUCGAAUCUGAAACUACAGAGAAAGCAAACCUUUUAAUCUCAAAUUUUUACCACUGGUGUUUUUGUUCAUAGCUAUGAUGGAAAUAUGGCUAAAGGCAGUUACAGGUCACAGAAAAUAUGAAGGAAUUUUGUUGAUUUGCCAGAUGAGAUUUGCAAUGUCGAAAAUUCUAGCUUCAAUGAAAAUGGAUGGUAGCAUAACAAAUUCUUCUAGGUUUUUUUUUUUUUUUUUUUAAUGCAGAGCCUCUAUUGUACCCAAAGCAAUAAAUUCAUGAUUCAAUUAUUUUUGGUCCAGUCCGAUUUUUACCUAUAAAAAUAAUCAAACUAAAAUUUUAUAAAAUAUAAAAAAUAAAAUCAAAACCAAACCGAAACGAAACCGAUCCCAACCUACCGGUUUUGGUUUGGUUCGGUUUUGGUUAUUUUAUAUUAAAAAUCAAAAACUAUACUAUUUUUUGAGGUUUUUUUUGGACUUUUUGACGGGCUUGAUUUAGGUUCGGUUCGGUUUUUUAUUUUUUUCUAUUUGAUUCAGUUUAUUUUUAACUAAAUCGGUUCGGUUCGAUUGAGGUUUUUUAGUUUCAGGCUUAUGAAACCUAACCCGAACCCGAAUCAAACCAAAUAUAUUUUUAAAUAUUCUAAUCAGUUUAAUCAAUUUUUUUAAUAACUUGAUUUUUUUAAUUAUUUAUUUUUUAAAUUUUCUUGAUUUAAUUAAUUUUUCAGUUUUUUUUUACCACUACUUUCUUUUUAAUUUACUAGUUACUAUUUAUAGGGUAAUAAUGAGUGUACUGAGAUUAGUUAAAUCUGAUUAAAAAUUCUAAAAUCCAAUUAAUUUUAUAAUUUCUAAUUAUUCGAUGAUUUAACAAGUGUAGAAUAAAUCACUCCAUUUCAGAACAUAAGUCAUGUCUAGAAAUGAUUUAUUGGCCUAUAUUGGUUUUAAUUGAAUUCAACCUAGAUCGUAGAUAUGGUCCAUGAAAGAAUGGAUGAUUAUUAUUUGGAAGGGAAAAAUUAAUCGGACCUUUAUUUGAGAUGGAGUUAAUUUGUCGAAGAAAGAGAUGGAGUUUGUCAUCAAUCGAAUGUUGGAGUUUGAGAAAAGUCAAUCGGACCUUAAAAAAUUUACAAGUACGAAUGUCCCACCCCCCCACCCCCACAGUCCGCCAGUCGGAAUGUUUAGGGAUCCCACCCCCCCCCCCCCCCCCUAUUUAUAGCACUCAGUCCCCCCACCCUCUCAGCCAAACCUCCUCCUCCUCCUCCUCCUCCUGCAGUCUCUUGCUUGUCUUUUAGUCCCACCACCAUCACAAGCAGCUAGAAUUCUUUCCCAGUCUUUUCAACAGUUUUUUCGAUAGUUUUUUGCGUUUCUUAUAAAUUCUUUCACAGUCUUCUCAAGCUUUAUACAUACAGCACAGGAAAACCAUGGAGAAUAGUGCUCGAGUUAUCAAGGGUUUUAUUCUUUCAAUUCCAGAAUCUGUGUCCCGACUCUGGCAUAGAGCACGACAACUGGAAUCACAGCAGCUACCACCUCCCACCAUGAACCAAGAAGGAGAGGCUAACCAGGGAAUGAAAUGGCAAAAGGUGCUUGUAAGCACCUGCUUCACAUCAGGACUUCAAAUAGCCCUUCAUUUUCACCAAAUUACUGAUUCCAAACUCGAUUCCUUGCAUUUAGUCUGUAUCCUUGUUGCAUUUAUCUUUUCUUGCCUCUUUGUUUCACAUUUUAUCAACCCCGCCAAGUUUCCGCGGACAUCCAAAGUGUUGGGUAAAGUUGCAGUUUUCCUGGUAGCCACCGUGUUUUUCAUCACCAUUUCAAUCCCAUUCCCCCCUGGUGUCAAGUGGGCUACUUGGAUAAUCUAUGCCAUUUCGUUGCUUGUUAUUGCAAUCUGCAAUUUCUGCUACUAGGCAUACAUUUUUUCUGUCAGUGUUUGUAUUUGUUCUUCAUAAUAAGGCUUAAAUUUUAAAAACGAACAUGUUGUUUCGUUGCUGCGUGUGUCGGUAUUUACUUAAACAUCAUAUAUCAAAAAGUUGAACACCAGAUUUCUGGUUUUUCCCCUCCUAUGUAUAUCCAAGCAUUUUCCAAUAGAAAAGCAACUCAAAAGUUUAUGAUCUUAAGCUUCAAUUUCAAGCAUAACAGGAGCGCAAUGUUGCAUUGACUGUUAAUUUAACUAGCAAGAUAUUUUCAUCCUAAUUAUAUCAUCUUGAAAACUAGUUGUUUUAUUAUCACUUGGUGCUUGAAUUAACCUGGCCAGAUCUAGUGGAUCGAUCGUUAAAUAACUCUUGCAAACUUCAAAUUCUUGGUUCAUCCUUUUUUUUCCCCUACCCAUUAUCUGUUUCACGAAAUUUGGUCUACAAAGUGGAGAAAGAAAAGUCCCGCACUUCCUUUUUGAUGAUUAUUAACAUGAUCAUGAUACUACAACAACAGCAAAAACUAAAAUCCUCUUUUGUCUUUCUGUGCGGUGUUUGGUAUCAACUACGCUAAGAUUUGAUUUGCAUCUCCUAAGCUCAAUUACAGUAUCAAUUUGUAUACCCACUGUAAACGAACCAACCAAAUAUUUAGAUAUUUGCUUCCCAGGUGAGUCAAAUCUCACAUCUGUGGAGACCAGAGAAGAACCAGGCUUCCCUUCCUUGCUGUUGCAAAUAUGGAUGACAAAAACAAAUUGAGAAAAAAUGAUAAUCCCAUAAAAUGUGAACAUUCAAUUUCGGGAGAUAAAAACUAUAGUUACAACAGAACAAUCACUUUCACAUGUUGUAAUCUCAUAGGACGCGUGAUAAUGCCUUAAAAGACAAUCUGGUUAAACAAAUUGAUACUGUAAUUGAAACUACAAGGUUGCACCAUUAAGCAUAGGAAAUGCAAAUCAAAUCUUAGCACAGAAAGACAAAAGAUUGACUGUGGUGUAUAUGUUAUCAAGUUUAUGCUAGCACCAGAAGAAGUGACAAAUCCUGAUUUUGUGGUAAGAUUUUAACAUUAAUGGCAGUCUUUCUAAUUAUCUAGCCAACAUGUAGUUCGACAGCGAUACCGAGAGGUUGGAAGUGGUACUAAGAUUGCUAGUGAGUGAUGUCAACUCAUGCAUGAAUGAUUUGGCUACUAAGGUUGAGGCAUAUUAUGAGCAGAGGUUUGGAAAUCAUUGAGAAUUUUUGGCAAGAAAUGAGAAUAUAAAAGACGUAAAUCAUCGAUAGGAAAGAAACUAUUCAGACAACAUAUAGGAAUUCAACUUCAAGGAAGCUUACCAGAGAAUGUGGGCUGCAUGAAAAGGAACUCAACGCUCAUCAAAUCAGAUGUGAACGGCUAUCAUUGUAAACAAAAUAGUAUAAUUGGUAUAGGCAUAAAAUGGGAAUACGGGAAACAGUCAUCUGAUUGCCCUGCCCCUCCUGCACAUUCCUGUGGAGAUUUCUGGCUGAACUAAAAACUAUGAGUUGUUUCAUUAUUUCAUGAUUCAUCUAUACCAUGUAAAUAUUAUAUAAAUGCAAAUCAGUUGCUCGACCUUACCCUUGUCAAUCCAUUGCACUGAGGACGACUGGUAUACGCAACAAUUUUGGUUGUCAUCCUUAAACGAUGCAGAAUAUACAAGACCACGAAGUUAUUGCCAAAAUGCAGAUAAAUCUAACAUUUUCCUGCUCAAAAUGCAGCAUAUUAUGGUUCUAAAACAUAGUAGCAAGGGAAAGGAACCUAUUUAUCAACAACGUACCAAGAGUGAGUACUUAAAGGGAACAAGAGGAUCUUCAAGGGAGAAACUUAUUUAUGAAGAACAUUUUGUUCUCUCUCCAGGACAAACAAUUUAUGCCCUUUCUUUCCUUUUGCAAGGCUUUUAAGUGAAAACAGGUUGCUAGUCAAGUUACAUAAUUUGUCAUCUAAAGAUACAAGAGAACAAAAGCUUCUGCAAUAUAGUAUACAGUAAAGUGAAGCUAAACAUUUUCAUCUCUGAAUUAAAAUCUGGUUUCUCCUUCACAGAGACAAGUUCCAGAACAGCACAGCAGGACAUGUCAUCUGGAUCAAAGAUCAAUGCAAAAGAACCUCGUUCUUCAUGAUCAGAUGCAUGCUUUGCCUGUAAGUACUCAGGCUUGCUAUAAUAAAUUACACUUGAAGUCCAUUCUGGAAUCUUAGAGAUAAACACACGACCAGGAAGGUCUAGUGGUAAACCAUGCUAGCAUUUGGUCAAACCAAGAAUGGUUGCUCUGAGGUGCUCAACAAGUAUUGAUCCCCGCUCCUUAUGGGAACCCACACCUGCACUUAAAUAACCCCUACAGAUGAAUCAUUGAACAAGGAUAAUGCCUCUAGCAUCCUCUCAGCAAGUGAUGAUGGCCUGGUUGGUUGAGAAAUAAUACAAUCUGAGGUGUUUUGGAAACAGUUUUGUGGACCAGCACCACUACUGUGUUUUGCACCCAGAUCAUCAGCAUCAAUGCAAUCUUAGGGAUAACCAAAAUACGAAUACGUUUGCUGAAGCACCACAUUAUCUCCACCAUUGUAAGAAGUCCCAGAAGCAUUUAUUUUAUCCAGCAAGGGAGCAGAAGUUUGUUCUGCAAAACUUUCUGCACACAGGAUGGAUAGGAUGUUGAUGGAAAAGAUGGCAUCCCAUCGAAGGCAAGCAUUUGAUCCAUAGCUGACAGGCUGUCGCACCAUCCAGCAUACAUAUCACAAUUCCUAAGCUCUGAAAAAAAGUUGAACGGGUCCUCCAACAAUGAAUUCCUAAGAGAAUCAUCGAAAGGUGGGACACAAUCUAUUUGAGCUCUUGGCCAAGCCCAAUAUCCCAUCCAUAUUUCUUUCGACGAGAAGGGGUUCUCCAUUGUGGUUAGUUAUAUAACUAACCAAAAUACUCUCCCCUCUUUUCAAUCAGAAUUCCAUACAAAGAACUCAAUUGACUCAAGUCUUCAUUUCCUAAUAUCUUCCCUCACUUGCACAACUUCAAAUCUUUCAAAGUUUCACUCUUUCUGCUCAGAUUUUUAUCUACCCGCAAAACAGAACAGCUCAAUUUCCUCUCUUUAGCCUUCUUUUUUUUUUUUUGAAUAACUAAAAACAACUCAAUAAUUACACUUGAAAAACCUAACCUUUUACCUGUUUCGACAGAAAUAACCCAGAAAGCAAAACCUCAAUCUCUUCAAUCCUGCAAUACAUAUAGCUGCCUGCACACGCCAAGAAAUCAAGAUAUAUCAGCUUUCAGCGGCCAAUAAACAAAUAUGUCAACAUCCAUGGUCUAAUUAGUACAUUACUCACCUCCUUUCUAUGAGGAGCAAGGACAAUCCAGCUAUAUGACAUCCAAAAAUUUGCAGUAUAGAAAGCCUCCGUGAUUCACUUCCGCACUCCAAUAUCAACAAUAACACACCAAACCCACCUCCAAAUUUGUCUUCUUUAUACAUGUACGCACACAGAUAAAGCUAAAUAUAAGUAGAGACUGCCCUUUUUUGCGCAUGUAUAAAGCUUGAGAUCUUCUUUUUCUGGGUUUUGGUCCAAAAAAAAGGCACUGAUUUCAAUGAAGGUUAACUAUCCUAAGUCUUAACCUCAACUUGUUUAUUUUUAUAUUUUAAAAUUAUUUUUUUUAAAGUAAAUUUUUAUUUAAUUUUUUAUUUUAAAUUAAAUUUUUUUAGUGUUUUUAUAUUAUAUUAUUUUAAUUUAUUAAUGUUAAAAAUAAUUUUUUAAAAAUAAAAAAUAAUAUUAUUUUAAUAUAUUUUAAAUUAAAAAAUAUUUUAAAAAACAACUAUAUUAUAUUUUAAAUAUUCAUAACUUGUGUUCGAAGAGAUUUGAUUUCUAUUUAAAAUUAGUUUUUGAAAAAUAAAAUUAUAUAAUGUGAUUCAAAUUGAAAAAGCAAAACUAUUAUUAUUAUAUUAUUAUAAAAAAACAUUAAAUGUUGCCAAAAUACUUUAGACGUGCAUUGUUUACUCUCUGAAUGGUUCAAAAUUUUGAUUUAAAAAAAAAAUUAUCUUCAAACUUUUUAAUUGCUUAUUAAGCUAAAUUCAAGGUAAUUAAAUCAAAUUUAUGAGUUAACAAAGUUGAAAAUUGAAAGAUAAAUGAUCAAAAUAAAUAAAAUGUAUAUUACAAAAAGAUAAUGAUUUAAAAAUUCUUAUAAACAGUUCACUUUCAUCUUCAAUCUUAGUAUAUUAUAUCUAUUCAGUUCUUAAAUAUCUUUUAAAUUUAAUUUUAAUAAAAAAAUUUAUAUUUGUUAUUUUUUUAUCUCUAAUUUGAGAAAAAAAGAUAGAGGUCAUCGAAUUCCGGCUAUAAAAAAAAGUUAUUAGUAAUAAUUUUAAUUAUUAAAAUAGUCAAUAUUAAUGUAAAAUAAUUUUAUUUAAUGAGUGUAGUUUAUAUUAAAUGUAUUUUUUCACGAAUUAUUCUGGGUCACAUCCCAAAAUCUACCCGUAUAAGACUGAAAGGUGAGCAUGAAACAACUGCAAUUGGGCUCAACAACAAUGCUUCCUUCUACCACUUUGAGAGGAAAACGCAUGUGCACUAUGGUAGAGUAAGAUACAGGGGGAAAAAAUUGACAAAACAGUGUAAAGUGGAAGUCUUUUGAACUCAAUCUAAUAACUAAGGCUGAAUCCUGAAAAUAAUAUUUUGUAGGGAAAUGCAUGCCUCUGUAAUAUCUUAUGGACUGACAGAAAGAAUCUUCUCUCUCUUUUUUAAUCCAUAUAUAAAAGCACAAACCGAAUGAAAAGCUGAUGAUAAAAAACCAUAUACAGGUCCCAGGCAUUCAUAGUUUGGCAUGAAAGCCAUAACAAGAAAGAAUCAGCCAAUACUGAAACAAUGCCAAUAACACAGAAAAUCUAACAUUAAGACUCCCUCCACAUUUCAGAAAAUAGAAAAUCAUUAAAAAUGACCUUAUUCAGUUCAUCAGGUAAUGUGGUUAAAAAAGAAAAAAGAAAAACAUAAAUACCUCCUCGCUGUCCUAAGCUGACACCGGGACUCCGCAGUGGUUCCCAGUGCAUAACAGCCAAGUAGAAAUUCCCAAACUUCUGGCCUAAUAGAUGGAUCCACACCCUAACACGCAGCAAACGAUGUCAUAUAGCUACACAGAAAUUCCAACCCACUUCAUAGAGAUAUGAAACCCAAAAUUAUAGACUAGAACCAAAUCAGCACCAUCUCAUUAUUCAACAAAGGACUGGAAAAUAAAUUUAAGGGGGCAAAAUAUAGCAACAACGAGACAGCAUACCCCCAAAACUAUCAACUUGAGUGCUUUCCGAAAACCCGAAACCUUUCCAUUACUAUCAAAAGUCGACUCCCAUUUCUCCGGCAUAAGCAUUUUGCUUACCUGCAACAUUAACAGCACAAAAUCCCUAUCAAGAUAAAAAAAAAAAAAAAUAAAAAAAAAACCUCACCGAUAACACGAAAUCUUAUGAAAUAAAAGGUUUGAGCAGUCAAUCUUAAAGUUAUAACAACCUUUAUAGGUGAUUGAGAAAGACAAGGCUCUCUCACAUCCUUCACCAUUGUUCCUACUCUCUGUAAAUUCACCACCGAUAUCGCUUUUCCACAUUUCCAUUGCUUCUCCUCUCUCUCUCCACUAGACAUCUACACCAAAAAAAUCCUCCUUUUCUCUCUCUCUCUCUAAUUAUUUUUCUUAGUCCUUCCUAAAUAUCAUCGCCGUGUAAUUAACUGACAAACUCAACAACUGCAAUUGCGAAAUCAAAAUUAAUGAACCCUCAUUAACUGAAAAUUUUGAUUAAUGAUGAAAAAACAUCGAAUUUAAAUAAAAAAAAAUACAUGAAAUUAAUAGAUUAACUGGAAAUUGGAAACGUCGAUCGAAAUGGAAUAGACAUGCAGCAAUGAUCGGACGAUCCAAUCAAAAUGUAUGUACGCAUGAAAAAAUAAACGUAGCAAUAUACUCGUAUGAGAAAGAAGGUAUGUGUACGAAUACGUACAAAUGUACGGAGAGAGUACCUGGAGAAGAAAAUUGAGAACGCGGAGAAUGGUGAAGACGAAGAAGUUAGGAGGAGGAGGAGGAGGAGUUUGUUGUCCUCCGUCGCCAUUUACGAAGAAUUUGUUUUUUUUUUUAAAGAGAAGAAAAUAAGAAAAAGAAAAAAGACCGUUUAUUCUUCUCUCUUUCUAGUUUUUUAUCCUUAUUUUUACCCCUGAUUUUUUUUUUCAUUUAUUUUUUUAUUUAGGAAUAAAAUGUUUUCUUUUUUUCUUUAAGAAGUAUAAAUUCUAAUAUGAUUAAUUUAUCCUUUAUGUUUUAUGUUUAAGGGUGUCGGGUCCUUUAAGAUAUACAUAUACAUAUACAUAUACAUAUACAUACAUACAUAUAUGGUUUAGUUUUAGCAUUGUUUUUAGCAUUUGGAGCGGGUUCAAUUUUAGCAUUGUUUUUACUAACUUUAGAACCUCGUUCCCAGAGUAAUUCUUCUUUUGAAAACAUUCUCAAGCUCUUACAAGUUUUCCGUAGUGUAAGCUUCAGGUUCCUAACCAAGCCUUGCUGCUCUGAACUCUCUUUCAUGAGGAUAGGGAGAAAGAACUCUAAUAUAUAGUUAUAAUCAGCAUCACUGCCCCUUAGCCAGAUUGCAACUGCAGCAUUCCAAUUAUACUUUCGUGCGUGAUGAGCAAGAGGAUACUCGCUUACAUGAUUUUCCUUCACAUCAGGCUCAAAGGAAGGAAGAUAUUUUAUAAAGGCUCGUCCAGCAGCACCUUGCCAACUGUGCAUAAAUAGUUGCUCACAAGCAUGCACAAAGUCUUGCAUCUCCUCAUCGGCAUAACAAGAUGUACGCUCUAUGAAAAAUACACAUUUCCGGAUCAUCCUUGAAUCACGUAAUCUGACACGCAAUUUUGAAAUAUCAUCAACAGCUCCCCAGGUAUAAUCACAAGGAAUCCAUGUCAGAGCAAGUGGCAAUCUGUGUGUUUGGCAUACAGCUGUGGUAACAAGUAGAAAAAAAAUUCUAUUAGACAAAGCAGAAGACAACCUAAUUUAGCAUAGAAAAAACUGUAAGCUACUACUGAUAAAUACCUCAGGACGAAGUCGAGUUUGUAAAUUGAUCCAUAAAUCGGCAGCCUGCAAACAGUUGGGCUUAUACAGAGUUUAUAACACCAUCAAACAAGACCAAUGUCUCUUUGCACAUAUAAUUUAAUGGCACAAAUAUUUUGGAAUCAAGCUAAUGCAGUUGUAAUAAGGAAUGCCUCAUCAGCUCUAAUUUAAAGCUUAAAGAUUGUUUCACCUCAGAAACACUAGCAAAUGCAAACACAGAGAUCACAGAAAAUGAAGCUAAUGGGGGAAAAUUCACAUUUUAUGAGAUUUCGAAAGUAGAAAAAACAAUAACUUUGACUUCAAACUCGAUAUGCUAAGGAAAUCUACUCUCUUUCAUCUCUUUCUUAUUCUCCUAAAUCCUGAUAAUAAAUUGGGUAGUAUUUUCAAUCGAUAUCCAAAAUCUGAUUGAAAAAAUAUAUGUAAUGAAAACAAACCUGGAGAGCCUGGAAAGUUUUUUCCGUCUCUAAAUCAAAAUCCUGUUUCUCCUCCAUGGUCACAAGCUCCAACACAGCACGGCAAUGCAUGGGUGCAGCAGAAUCAAAGACCAGAAAGGCGAUAAUACCCCUUACUCCACAAGAGAUGGCAUCUGAUAGGUGUGAGUAUUCACUCGGUCUGUAAUAACGUACAUUUGAAGUCCAUUCUGGAAAUCCACAAU
RNAcentral lists this long non-coding RNA (24745 nucleotides) under Populus trichocarpa (black cottonwood). RNAcentral describes it as "long non-coding RNA (PTRI_LNC003753)". The stretch from base 5918 to 6023 matches the Rfam family "MIR6450 microRNA precursor family". Lineage: Eukaryota; Viridiplantae; Streptophyta; Magnoliopsida; Malpighiales; Salicaceae. The record is from RNAcentral.